RNAcentral lists this transfer RNA (85 nucleotides) under Felis catus (domestic cat). It matches the Rfam family "tRNA". From Rfam's summary of the family: Transfer RNA (tRNA) molecules are approximately 80 nucleotides in length. Their secondary structure includes four short double-helical elements and three loops (D, anti-codon, and T loops). Lineage: Eukaryota; Metazoa; Chordata; Mammalia; Carnivora; Felidae. The record is from Rfam by way of RNAcentral.
GCCUGGGUGGCUCAGUUGGUUGAGCAUCUGACUUCAGCUCAGAUCAGGCUCUCGUGGCUGGUGGGUUUGAGCCCCCCAUUGGGCU